RNAcentral lists this ribosomal RNA (300 nucleotides) under Unio pictorum (painter's mussel). Its description in RNAcentral is "partial large subunit ribosomal RNA". It matches the Rfam family "Eukaryotic large subunit ribosomal RNA", at positions 91 to 390 of the family's 3401-position model. Lineage: Eukaryota; Metazoa; Mollusca; Bivalvia; Unionida; Unionidae. The record is from RNAcentral.
AAGUGAUAGGGAAAAGCUCAGCUUUGAACCUGGCCCUUGGGUGUCGGGAUGGUGUUGUAUAGGAAGCCUACUUGUCGGCCCGUUCGGGUAUCCCCUCCUCCUGAUAUUGUCCACUCCCAAGCGGGGGUCGGGCCCAUAAGGCACCCGACCGCGUCUGCCUGUACCUUCCUCGUAUUCAGGUUGUUUGGGAAUGCAACCCACAGUGGGUGGUAAACUCCAUCUAAAGCUUGUUACUGCCACGAUUCCGAUAGCAUACUAGUACCGUGAGGGAAAGUUGAAAUGAACUUUGAAAGAGAGAGA